UUCAAGAAUUGUACGAAAGGAAAGUAUAGAAUUUCAAUCACAGCAACACAAACAAUUGAUCUUGUCCCAGGUGGCAGGAGCAGGACUCCUGCUUCCAGAGGCUCCGAGGAAGGCAAGCGCAGCUCUGGAACCAGGGCUGGCCCCAGUGCAAAGCAGGGCCCCAGGGAGCACCGAUGAGGGGACCUUGGAUCUGAGAGAGCCCGGCCCGGGAAUGUGCUGGGGAAAGGGCUGUGCAGAAGGGCCUGGAACCCUCACUGUGGGGGGGGGGUUGGGGGGGCUACUGGGCUGUUUGCUCAGGAGGCAGGGAAGCUCAGGGGACUGAUCCCUGCCUUCAGAUAUUCCCAGCACCCAUGGGGAGGAUGGGCUGGAUGUGUGCUGGUGGCCGCCGGGGGCAGGGCUGGUGCUGCGGGGAGCAGGGAGGAUGCCCCGCACCCCUGAGCCCUCAGUUUGGGAGAUAGGACAGCACUGGGUGCUGCCCGCUGGCUGCUUACCACGAACCCACAGGCCCUGUGGCAAGUGAGCUCCGGGCAUAUCUGUUUAUUUUCCGUAACAACCCUGCCAAGGAGGCGGCGCCACCGUCCUCAGUUUACGGACGAGGACAUCGAGGCACAGAGAGGGGCCCAUGUCCCUCGUCCCUCGAGCCCAGCGCAGGCCCUCUGGGAGAGCCCCAGGCCACAGACAUGUGGUGCGGGAGCCAGAACACGGGGCCAUGAAUCCCCGCUCUGCUGUUACCAGGCCAGCAGUGAAGGACCAGCGACCCGAGGACGUUGGGGGCAGGCCAGGGGACACACCCACCUCCCGGACUCCCUUGCAGCUAGGCUGAGCAGGGCACCCACUCCUGGCUGCUGAGAUGUAAGGACGAGUCAGCAAGGAGGGCCCCGAGAAGGCUGUGGUGCUCCCCACCUCUUGGCACGUCUCUGUGCUGGC
Non-coding RNA from Callorhinus ursinus (northern fur seal), 927 nucleotides. The record is from RefSeq and is a predicted model, not a curated record. NCBI's taxonomy places the organism in Eukaryota, Metazoa, Chordata, Mammalia, Carnivora, Otariidae.